This 506-nucleotide ribosomal RNA is filed under the name uncultured bacterium. RNAcentral's name for it is "partial 16S ribosomal RNA". It matches the Rfam family "Bacterial small subunit ribosomal RNA", at positions 29 to 523 of the family's 1533-position model. The record is from RNAcentral.
AGUGAACGCUGGCGGUAGGCCUAACACAUGCAAGUCGAACGGCAGCGCAGGAGAGCUUGCUCUCUGGGUGGCGAGUGGCGGACGGGUGAGGAAUACAUCGGAAUCUACUUUUUCGUGGGGGAUAACGUAGGGAAACUUACGCUAAUACCGCAUACGACCUACGGGUGAAAGCAGGGGACCUUCGGGCCUUGCGCGAUUGAAUGAGCCGGUGUCGGAUUAGCUAGUUGGCGGGGUAAAGGCCCACCAGGGCGACGAUCCGUAGCUGGUCUGAGAGGAUGAUCAGCCACACUGGAACUGAGACACGGUCCAGACUCCUACGGGAGGCAGCAGUGGGGAAUAUUGGACAAUGGGCGCAAGCCUGAUCCAGCCAUACCGCGUGGGUGAAGAAGGCCUUCGGGUUGUAAAGCCCUUUUGUUGGGAAAGAAAUCCAGCUGGCUAAUACCCGGUUGGGAUGACGGUACCCAAAGAAUAAGCACCGGCUAACUUCGUGCCAGCCGCCGCAGUAA